GAUGAACGCUGGCGGCGUGCCUAAUACAUGCAAGUCGAGCGAACAGACGAGGAGCUUGCUCCUCUGACGUUAGCGGCGGACGGGUGAGUAACACGUGGAUAACCUACCUAUAAGACUGGGAUAACUUCGGGAAACCGGAGCUAAUACCGGAUAAUAUAUUGAACCGCAUGGUUCAAUAGUGAAAGACGGUUUUGCUGUCACUUAUAGAUGGAUCCGCGCCGCAUUAGCUAGUUGGUAAGGUAACGGCUUACCAAGGCAACGAUGCGUAGCCGACCUGAGAGGGGGAGCGCCGCCACUGGGACUGUGACACGCUCCACAGUCCUACGGGAGGCAGCAGUAGGGAAUCUUCCGCAAUGGGCGAAAGCCUGACGGAGCAAAGCGGCGUGAGUGAGAAAGGUCUUCGGAUCGUAUAACUCUGUUAUUAGGGAAGAACAAAUGUGUAAGUAACUAUGCACGUCUUGACGGUACCUAAUCAGAAAGCCACGGCUAACUACGUG
RNAcentral lists this ribosomal RNA (497 nucleotides) under uncultured bacterium. Its description in RNAcentral is "partial 16S ribosomal RNA". It matches the Rfam family "Bacterial small subunit ribosomal RNA", at positions 28 to 507 of the family's 1533-position model. The record is from RNAcentral.